UACGGGGGGGGCAAGCGUUGUUCGGAAUUACUGGGCGUAAAGGGCUCGUAGGCGGCCAACUAAGUCGGACGUGAAAGCCCUCGGCUUAACCGAGGAACUGCGUCCGAUACUGGAUGGCUUGAGGUUGGGAGAGGGAUGCGGAAUUCCAGGUGUAGCGGUGAAAUGCGUAGAUAUCUGGAGGAACACCGGUGGCGAAGGCGGCAUCCUGGGCCAAUUCUGACGCUGAGUGAGCGAAAGCCAGGGGAGCAAACGGG
This 254-nucleotide ribosomal RNA is filed under the name uncultured bacterium. RNAcentral describes it as "partial 16S ribosomal RNA". It matches the Rfam family "Bacterial small subunit ribosomal RNA", at positions 524 to 776 of the family's 1533-position model. The record is from RNAcentral.